Non-coding RNA from Tilletiaria anomala UBC 951, 102 nucleotides. Lineage: Eukaryota; Fungi; Basidiomycota; Exobasidiomycetes; Georgefischeriales; Tilletiariaceae. The record is from the annotation of a RefSeq genome assembly.
ACAGUAGUGGUCUAGCGGUUAAGAUAUCACUUUCCCAUGAGCAUUGGCGCCUGAAUUGGCGAGAUAAAGUGAGGGUCCCGGGUUCGAACCCCGGCUACUGUA